GAACAGGAUACCUUGCCCGAGGAUUGUGUAGUUUUUGUUUUGGCUUGUAAGAAAAAAUAUACAUAAAAAAACCAAUCAAAUUGAUUUAUAAUAUAUAAUGUUACUGUCAGAAAACAAUAAUAAAUAAUUAUCAUAUAAUAUUAAAUUUCACACAAAACGCACCGUAUGGACGCACUAAUAUUAAAAUAAUUAAUAAUGUAUAAUAAUGAUAUUGGUAAAGGUAUAAUAUAAUAAUUUAUAGAAUAAUCACACACAAAAUGUUGGGGGUUGUCAUAGCAUAGGUAUGUUAUAUAAUUAUUAUGUAGGUAUUUACCAGUUCCCCUCUUCUCAGAGCAUUUAAAUAUUAACACAUUAUAAUAAUGACAAUAUAUUUUUAGCGAAUAAUAUACAACAUUAUUAGUACUACAAACUAAUAAGUAUAUUAAAGGGGUAAUAUAGUAAUUCAUUAUCAAUACGUAUAUUAUACCUAUCAUCUACAUGAUAUUUUAUUAAAUAGAUAAACAGGUAAAAACAUUGAAUUUACAAUUUCCGAAAAAAAGGAAAGAAAAAACAAUUCCUAACAUUAAUGUUUCUAACUAGAAUAACAUAUUAAUCGUCUCUACAAACACGCAACACACGUAUGUAAAAGCCCACACAAUGUAUAGUAAUAAUAUUAUAAUAAUAUCCCACUUGCAGUAAUACUGAAUUAAUUUUAUUACAGUACAUUUUUAUUAUUAUUUUUUUUUCAAAAAAGGAGUCGAUUAUUAUAUUAUUCCUUACACACGCAAAAGAUUCUUAAACCAAAAAUAAUGAAUAUUAUUAAGAUUAUCAACUAAUAGGGAGGUAUAACAUAGAAAGUGUAAUAUAUUACGAACGUGUAUAUUGUACCUACCUACCAAUUACAUUUGUUCAACACAAGUAGUUUACCAAUAUUUUGAUUUGACAAUGUGUAAACAAACAUAGGCAAAAAGUCUCAAUAUUAUUAACAAUAUUAACGAUAAGUAUGAAAUAUAAUUCACAUAACAAUAUAACUAAUACUAAAUAAAAUAUUAUUAUUAUUAGCAAAUAAGCUU
Molecule: non-coding RNA, 1052 nt
Organism: Cinara cedri
Lineage: Eukaryota; Metazoa; Arthropoda; Insecta; Hemiptera; Aphididae
Source: the annotation of a GenBank genome assembly